This is a long non-coding RNA of Scatophagus argus, 3088 nucleotides long. RefSeq lists it as uncharacterized. The record is from RefSeq and is a predicted model, not a curated record. The transcript is spliced from 3 exons. Lineage: Eukaryota; Metazoa; Chordata; Actinopteri; Scatophagidae.
CAAGAUCAACCCUGAUGCAUCUACAAAGUCAAAGAAGUUGAUAAGGUAAAAUAUUCAACAUAUUGUCUUCAUACUGUUUUCAAUCAAAAAGGAUAAGCAUAUGAUCACAUUCUGUUUUAUUUACUCAUUUGUAAAUGAGUAUAAAGCAAUUGGCUCAGUGAGAUCUCUAUGAUUAUUCUUAUCUGCUUCUUGAAAACUGGUAAUGUAAUUAAGAGCAAGACACUGAUGCUAAUUAACCUUGGUUGAGGUGAAGGAGCUGGGAGCUGCUGUUGUUUUAACUAGUAAACUAGUAUGUCUCAGCAGUGAUUAAUCAUCUGAGGCCUCCGGUCUGUCAGUAAACAGGGAGAAGGACACCUUGGGGGAGGGCGUGCUGAUACGGGUAUGGUACAGGAAAAAGCAGGUAUGAGCUAGUGGAAAGAAAUUCUGCUUUGGGCUUGUUCUGCCCCAUGGGGGGGUUUUCAACACUGAUAGCUUGAUGGGGUUCCAGCCUCCUCACAGAAAUGUCAAGCAGAGGGCAUCUGAGGAAUUAAUUUAAACACAUGUGCAGGGUGUAUCCCAAAGCGCCUUGGUGAUGUAAUUACAUGUUUUCUCAUUAUUCAUAUGCAGACAGUUGUGCAGAUGGCAUUUCUCACAACAAGGUUUGAAACAGUGGAGACCUGUGGUGACAUGGUUCCUCCCUCUUCAUACUAUAAAUAGAACACGAAUAGCACUCACAUGUCUGAACAGAAACAAAUCAAUGCAUUGUGUAUUCUCCUAAAGGUCUCUGUUGUGUGGUGUCCCUGUGAACACGUUACAGUGCAAGAUAGUUGCAAAGAUAAUUGCAUUUUCCCAUGUUUUUACUUUUCUGAACAAAACUUCAACAAUUUGUGCGCUUCCUGUCAUCAGAUGGUGGCCCUGCCUUGACAAAAGAAGGACUUCUGUCAAUGCCAUGGGUGAAGAAGUCAUGAAAGAAUGUUAGCAGCAUGCAACUGGAAGUCCUCUGUACAUGUAACUUAUGUGAAGUAGUCACUCAGAAAUAAUUCAUAUCAGUAAUAACAGAAGCACUUUAACUGGCAGUUUUACACUAUUUGUCAUUGUGUUUUGAUGUAUGUACAUUUGGUGUUGUUUUCAUUUAUUCAGACAGAACCUGAGUACCCUGUAUGAGAUUAACUAGAACCUAUGCCUACAGUCCCACCCAUCAGGUCAUCACCACGGUGCACCUUGAUGUCAUAACACUUCCUUCAAUUGAAAAGAAACUCAUGUUAAAUGCACUUCAUGAAAACAUCUUGCCCACUGUCAUCAGGAUGGCUAACUACUUGUUUUCUAAGCAGUCUCCUAAAUCCACUCUUGUAUUUGUGUUAAUCUGUAAAGUCUUUAUUAAACUGAAGUUUAGCUAUAGCAUUGGAGAAACCACUGUAUCCUUCUAUUGUCUCAUGACAAACUUUUAAGUGGGAAAAAAGUUAAGUGUUUCAGAGUUUAUAUUUUAAUUGGAUAAUUGAUCUAGAACAGGUCUCAAGCUUUCACCAGUGCUGUGUGAGGUAUAAUCCUGACCAACGAGAACGAUAAGAAUGGAGACCAAAGUUUCAGCAGAAACAAAUAAAUAGCUUCAAAAGGAUUCAGGCUGUUAUAUUAGAGUGCAAGCAUGCAAACUAAAUGGUGCGUUCAGACUCCUGGAGCGUGGGACCAUCAGAGGCCUUGCAGCACAAUCUCAUUAUAAACAUCCCUCUGUUUAUUCUCUAAACUGAGGGGGCUAUUAUCAAGCAUGUGGCAUGUUGUCACCCUCAUCCACACCAGAGAUGAGCCUGUUUCCUCCUGUCUGAAGCUGUGCCCAUGUCAUAUGCUGAGCGCACGAGUGACAGGCCAUCACUCUUCAUCUCCAGCAAACCAGGGCCAGAUAGGAGUUUGGAAUAGGUGUCGCUGUUACCACUUUUGUCAAUCAUGACAGCCUCUACAGCGCCUUAAUGCAGCACAGAUGGUGUUUUGGUGCAUGUCCCCGUUUGUCACUGAAAUAGCAGAGUGACAGGGUCUUUGCCCAUGUGAGGCCACAGAAUGUUUGAAGCUAAAUGCAUGUUACUGGCUGAGAUCCCAGCCAUAAUGCUGAAAAACCCAUACAACAUAACAUAAAUAAACAUAAUGAGCUGUGUCUGUUCACAAAUAAUAUAUUCAAAUAUAUUCUAGACUUCCAUUGUACAUUUAAGUUGUCCGUGUUGGUAAUUUUUCUGUUAUGAUCUAUGUUAAAAUCAUCUGAUGAUGAGUUUCUCUCUUUCUGAUUGCUGUAUUUUGUAUUUUAUUUAUAUCCAAAACAACUUUAAUUCUACCGUGCAUAUCAGUUAGACUAAUUUUCUCACAAGAAAAGCUGCUUAAAUGAACAUUUCUGGAGCUUCACUGGAAAAAAAACUUUGCGGUUUUCUCCUAAACAAUUGAAAAAGCUUGAUCAGAAUAAUCCAAGUGUCCAUCCCAAUGAUUUGAUUUGUUAAGAUGAAAUCUCCACUACAGACGCUAGCUGGGUGAGUGAGCUUGAAUGCAUUGAGGUAUGCAAAGAUCACAAGCUCUUUGAUUUUGUUUGGUAGUGCAUCUACAUGUAUUCAAGCUGCAGAAAUACUCUGGGAACUAAGAAACUUUACCCAACUUUCUAUCAGCACCAGAUUGAGUAUACUGAAUGAACUGUCAUUUUUGGGUACACUGUGCCAAAGACUCUCUACUCCAUCACCAAAUUGUCUGUACAGUCAUGACAGGGAGAGGACUGAUUGAAAGAGGAUUUAAAUGAGCAAAUGUGAUUCAUCCAGAUGUGUAAACAGCUCCAAACCCUCUUACAUUAUAUGAUAAUGGAUUCUUACUCAUCCCAUCAUGUAAUGUAACCCUAAUAAAAAUAACGAAACGUGCAUGUGAAUGCCCUGGGCACAUUAGGCAUUGCACACCAAAAAUAACACCUCAUAAUCUCUGUUCACCUUAGUUUUGACAUUUUAUUAUAGAACAUGAUGUGAAAAUUCUACCAAAUCAACCAAAAUAAUCAUGACAAUACAACAAAGCAUGCUGGUUGGAGUGUAAUUUUACCUUUACUAAAUAUUACAGGACAAAUGUAAUGCUAAAAAAGUGUCAAUUAAAGAAG